This 3526-nucleotide long non-coding RNA is filed under the name Canis lupus familiaris (dog). RNAcentral describes it as "lncRNA (ENSCAFG00000056377.1)". Lineage: Eukaryota; Metazoa; Chordata; Mammalia; Carnivora; Canidae. The record is from RNAcentral.
UUUUUUUUUUUUUUUUUUGGGGGGGGGGGGGUGUUGUUAGGCAAUAUUAUUUCAGCAAUGGUUGAUUAACACACUAUCUAACGCCCUGAGCCAAGCACUAGGGCACUGCUUUCUGGUCUUAGAGGCCUUUGUCAGGGGGUAGGUUUUGUCUGCUUCACUGUAGUCUCUGUUUUCCAGAGGAAGGACUAUGGAUUUGUAGCUUAGUCUGACUAAACAAAUGUGGGCUUAUUUUAAUGGUUGACCAUGCCCACCGGAUAUAAAAAUGCAAGAGCUGUCAGAGGAUAUGUGUCCUAUUAGUCUUUGCCUAUUCAAGAACAAUUUUUAAAACUUCAAUACUUGUUUAAAAAAAAAAAAAGAAAGCUGAUUUUUGGAUCCGUGGAAUCCUUAUUGGAAUGGUCACAGGUAAUGUGCCAUGACUUGCAGGGAAUGCAUCUCCAAGGUGACCACGAUGGCCCUUUGCAGGAGCCUGUUGCAGAGGAGGCCCCCAUGUAGAUGGGAGGAGUAGAAAAGGAAAAGAGAAUGGAGAGAGGUCGUUCACAAGGUGGGAGGCAAGGAUCACUACUGCUUGGUGUGUGAGCCUAGACAGAGGGCCUUUGGCCCCAUGCCCUGGUGCUUCCUGUGCCGACAAUGGGGAGAAUGACAAGGAAAUGUCUAGGACCACUACCUGCUAGUGACUGAUGACUUUUUCAGGAGCUCGAUCUAUAAAGUGGGGCCAGCAUCACCUAUGUUGGAAAGUUGCUGUAUGGAGUUGAGGUGUUGGAGGCUCCCACCUGCCACUGGGAGCUACUAUAAUUGCCUUUGGCAGCUAACCCAAUACAAAAACAGCCACGAUGACAAAUUUGAAAUUAAAGCUUUUAUGGAUACAAAGACAUUGCUAAUGAGGAGCGCCUCUUGGAAGGGACAAAGAGGAACCUAGAGAGACUUCUCACGACACAUCCUUUUUUCUUUCCCUAAUCCAUGUGUAUGCAUUACGAUUUUAAAAUACAAACAAGACGCUUAGAAUGCAAGACUUUUUUUUUAUAAACGACUUUCAUAAUUAGAAAGCUCGACACAUCAUCUUUCCUCAAUAAGCGAACAUCUGACAAAUGUAAACUCACUUCAUCUAUCAGUUAGAUGCUUGAGAAACACUGGAGUCUUUAAUCACAUGGAUUCCUACACGGCAAAGGCUUUUUUUCUAUUUGAACUACAACACAAAGGCAAUAUUUAGGAACAGCACACAUCAGAAGAAAUCAUGCUCAAGCAUUCUGUUCAUGUCGAAAACAAUCUAAGAAACGCAAGCAGUUUAAAAUCAAAUACCGUAUUUUCAUAAGCUGUUCUGACUGGCAGGGGUUGUAAACUAUAGCUUAGGGACCAAACCCAGCCUAUUAAAAAACAAAAGAAAAAAAAAGAAAAAAACCCCACACAACACAAAACCUUUCUACUGAGACCUGUAGGUCCAUAAUGCAGUUGUACAAAGUAACAGAGAGAUCCCUUGUACCCUCUGCUCAGGCUUUCCCGGGGCAAUCCACCACCUGUUUUUGCACAAUCCCGGAGCUAAGAGCGGUUUUUAGAUUUUUAAAUGCUUGAGAAAACAAAUCAAAGAAAGUAUUUUGUGACGUGGAAAAUUACAUGAAGCUCAUUUCACUGUCCAUAAAGAUUACCUCGAGCACAACUAUGCAUUCCUUUACGUAUUGUCCACGGCUGCCUUUAUACUACGAGGUCAGAGUUGAAUUGUUGCAACAGAGACGGAAUGGCCACAAAGCCUAAGAUAUUUACUACCUGGUUUACAAAAAAGUUUGCCGACCCCUGGGUUAGAGACUGGGUGAGGGUCAGGGAAGAAAUGAGUAUCUGGAAUAAAGAUUUUUUUCUUUCAAAGGCUGCACAUUUCUAAAGGACAUUUGCAACCAUGGAUGCCCUCAGAUACCGAUAUUAGAGAUGUCUUUCUGCACCUGGGGAUGGAGGGAUGGAAGAGGCAAAUGCAUCUAGUUUUUCUCAAAAUCCAGAGAUGUCUGUUUUAAAAGAACUCUACAGGGGGAAUCAGUUUCUCUUACUCAUAAAGGGAUCUUUUACCAAAAUGAAAAGAAAUGAAGGUAGGUUGUUUCAAAUCCAUAGGUAACCACCAAUACAAGUGAAACACUAUUCCCCUCCUGGGACACUUAACACUAACAAGGGCAGAGGACUGUACACUGAAUACUAGAAUUAACUGUGUCAUUCAUGUUACCCGUGUGGCUUUGGCCAAAAGCUACACUCUGUGUUAGGCUGAAGACAGUCUUUUGCAACCUUUUAAGAAACAUAUGGUACAAUGUGAGUGGGUACAGUGGCUUGAGAACUUCAGAAUUGUUUGACACACGUACAAUCUGUGUCUUCAAUGGAUCAAAGUCCCUAGAACUAAGGAGUGAGGAUUGAGUCAUGUUAAAGAGCUGCUUAUUAGGAAAAGACCAUGCACUGUACCACAAAGAGGGCAUUUGGUGAAGCCCUCCUAAUGCAAAGUAUUUUGGGCAGGGCUGGUGGGGCUAAGUUUUUUUCUUUUUUAAAAUGUUAUUUAUUCAUUAAAGAGAGGCAGAGACACAGGCAAAGGGAGAAGUAGGCUUCAUGCAGGGAGCCUGCUGUGGGACUCAGUCCCGGGAACCUGAGACCACAAGGAGCCAAAUGCAGAUGCUCAACUGCCGAGCCACCUAGGUGUCCCUUUUUUGUUGUUGUUUUAAGAUUUAUUUUACAGGAGGAGAGAGAGAAUCUCUCUCCAAGCAGACUCCUUGUUCAAGCAGACACAUUGCUCUCCAAUGGGGGGUUUUAUCCCAGGACCCAGACCAUGACCUGAACUGAAACCAAGAGUCAGAAGCCUAGCCAACUGUGCCCCCCGGGGGGUAAUUUUUCAAAUGCUGGUGCUACUAGAUCUAGUUAUGAUGGAAGCAACUGCAAAUUCAAAUUUGACCACAGACACCAGAUCCUGGAAACUGCAUUAGCAUGAAAGGUCUUCACACAGGGGUAAGGGGACCAUGGAUGGAAUUUACAGGGUCCAGGGGACCUGGACAGGAAAGAAGAAUUGAUUGCACUAGCCUCUAACUGAAAUCAAGCAUUUCUGUCAAUUCUGGAUAUACGUACCACACCAUGGUAGCAUUAGCAAGUCAAAGUCAGUCAGGUAUUUUCAUAUGACGUAUGAAAUAUAUCAUUUUUCAGGUUCUAGUUAUCUUGAAACACCAUUACUACUUCAAAAUAGAUACUAGAUCUGCUGCUAGAACUUAUUUAAUGCACUAAGUGUACAUAAUUCAAAAAAUAUUUUGAUAACUAUUUCAAAAUUUUUUUUAAAGAUUUUUAUUCAUGAGAGACAGGCAGAGACAGAGGGAGAAGCAGGCUCCCCAUGGGGAGCCUGAUGCUGGACUCCAUCCCAGGACCAUGCCCUGAGCCAAAGGCAGACAUGCCAACCACUGAGCCUCCCAAGUGCCCCUAUAAUUGUUUUCUAUUAAGCAUCACUCAGAAGGUUUUCAUAGACUUCAUUGGACUGAAAGAGGUCCCGGACUCAAAAAAAAAAAAAAAAAAAAAAAAAAAG